This is a long non-coding RNA of Ahaetulla prasina, 546 nucleotides long. RefSeq lists it as uncharacterized. Lineage: Eukaryota; Metazoa; Chordata; Lepidosauria; Squamata; Colubridae. The record is from RefSeq and is a predicted model, not a curated record. The transcript has 3 exons.
UUUUCUACCAUAUGACCUGGUGACGUACGUUCCCAGGUUCCAUUUAUAAAGGUGCUUGGCUGGUGGAGAGGACUGAAACCAACUAAACAAGGAAUUUUGGACAGUAGAAAUAAUGAGAAUGGCACCACCCACAGUUUUGAAUGAUGAUCUGAAGCAGGGGUCUGCAACCUUGGCAACUUUAAGCCUGGAGGACUUCAACUCACAGAAAAAUUCAGCAAUCAUUAAGCGAAUCAUUGCAAUCAUUAAGUGGAUCCAUUUCAGCAAAAUGGUGAAUCGUGGUUACAUGGAUGCUGCAAGCAUAUUUACAGCCGGUAAAUGUGGAUCAGUUGCUAAGCACAUGAAAUAUAGUCACAUGACCAUGGGGGACUGGCCUUUGGCCAAGUACUUUUGACGAUCCAUUGGAACUUGAACAAUUACUAGGCAACGAGUCAUAAGUCAAGGAUCAACUGUAGCCGUGUAUUAGAAUAAAAUAGAAUAACAGACUUGAAAUGGACCAUGGAGAUCUUCUAGUCCAACCCCCUGCUUAGGCAGGAAACCCUAUACCAU